Molecule: transfer RNA, 84 nt
Filed under: Candidatus Woesearchaeota archaeon
Lineage: Archaea; Nanobdellati; Candidatus Woesearchaeota
Description: tRNA-Lys
Source: RNAcentral
GCCGUGGUGGCACAACCUGGUACUGCGCAAUUCUUUUUAUCUUGUUUCCGCAAGGAUUUCCCGGUUCAAAUCCGGGCCACGGCG